AACACAUGCAAGUCGAGGGCGAGCAAUAAAGUAGCAAUACUUGGUGGCGACCGGCGCACGGGUGAGUAACGACGUAUGCAACCUACCUAUCAGAGGGGAAUAACCCGGCGAAAGUCGGACUAAUACCGCAUAAAACAGGGGCACCGCAUGGUGAUAUUUGUUAAAGAAAUUCGCUGAUAGAUGGGCAUGCGUUCCAUUAGGUAGUUGGUGAGGUAACGGCUCACCAAGCCGACGAUGGAUAGGGAACUGAGAGGUUGGUCCCCCACACUGGUACUGAGACACGGACCAGACUCCUACGGGAGGCAGCAGUGAGGAAUAUUGGUCAAUGGGCGGGAGCCUGAACCAGCCAAGUCGCGUGAAGGAAGAAGGAUCUAUGGUUCGUAAACUUCUUUUGCAGGGGAAUAAAGUGCAGGACGUGUCCUGUUUUGUAUGUACCCUGAGAAUAAGGAUCGGCUAACUCCGUGCCAGCCGCGGC
Molecule: ribosomal RNA, 475 nt
Filed under: uncultured bacterium
Lineage: Bacteria
Description: bacterial SSU rRNA
Rfam family: Bacterial small subunit ribosomal RNA
Source: RNAcentral